GACGAACGCUGGCGGCGUGCCUAAUACAUGCAAGUAGAACGCUGAAGGAGGAGCUUGCUUCGCUGGAUGAGUUGCGAACGGGUGAGUAACGCGUAGGUAACCUGCCUGGUAGCGGGGGAUAACUAUUGGAAACGAUAUCUAAUACCGCAUAAUAGUAGAUGUUGCAUGACAUUUGCUUAAUAGGUGCAAUUGCAUCACUACCAGAUGGCCCUGCGUUGUAUUAGCUAGUUGGUGGGGUAACGGCUCACCAAGGCGACGAUACAUAGCCGACCUGAGAGGGGACUCGCCCAAGCUGGGAUGGAGACAUGGCCCAGCCCCCUACGGGAGGCAGCCGUCGGGGAUCUUUGGCGAUGGCAGGAAUGCGGACCGAGCAACGCCGCGUGAGUGCAGAAGGUUUUCGGGUCGUGAAGCUCAUUUGUGAGUGAAGAACGAGUGUGAGAGUGGAAAGGUCACACUGUGACGGUACCGUACCAGAAAGGUACGGCUAACUACGUG
This 495-nucleotide ribosomal RNA is filed under the name uncultured bacterium. Its description in RNAcentral is "partial 16S ribosomal RNA". It matches the Rfam family "Bacterial small subunit ribosomal RNA", at positions 28 to 507 of the family's 1533-position model. The record is from RNAcentral.